RNAcentral lists this ribosomal RNA (253 nucleotides) under uncultured bacterium. Its description in RNAcentral is "partial 16S ribosomal RNA". It matches the Rfam family "Bacterial small subunit ribosomal RNA", at positions 524 to 776 of the family's 1533-position model. The record is from RNAcentral.
GACAGAGGGUGCAAACGUUGUUCGGAAUUACUGGGCGUAAAGCGCGUGUAGGCUGCCCUGCAAGUCGGAUGUGAAAUCCCUCGGCUCAACCAAGGAAGUGCAUCGAAAACUGCAGAGCUUGAGUACUUAAGAGGAUCGCGGAAUUCCCGGUGUAGAGGUGAAAUUCGUAGAUAUCGGGAGGAACACCAGUGGCGAAGGCGGCGAUCUGGGAAGAUACUGACGCUGAGGUGCGAAAGCGUGGGGAGCAAACAGG